RNAcentral lists this ribosomal RNA (253 nucleotides) under uncultured bacterium. Its description in RNAcentral is "partial 16S ribosomal RNA". It matches the Rfam family "Bacterial small subunit ribosomal RNA", at positions 524 to 776 of the family's 1533-position model. The record is from RNAcentral.
UACAGAGGUCUCAAGCGUUGUUCGGAUUCAUUGGGCGUAAAGGGUGCGUAGGCGGCGCGGUAAGUCGGGUGUGAAAUCCCCAGGCUUAACCUGGGAAGUGCGCGCGAAACUGACGAGCUUGAGUGCCGGAGAGGGUCGCGGAAUUCCCGGUGUAGAGGUGAAAUUCGUAGAUAUCGGGAGGAACACCAGUGGCGAAGGCGGCGACCUGGACGGACACUGACGCUGAGACGCGAAAGCGUGGGGAGCAAACAGG